RNAcentral lists this transfer RNA (18 nucleotides) under Anolis antonii (Anton's anole). RNAcentral describes it as "partial tRNA-Tyr". Lineage: Eukaryota; Metazoa; Chordata; Lepidosauria; Squamata; Anolidae. The record is from RNAcentral.
AAUUCCUUUCUAUUACCA